Molecule: long non-coding RNA, 853 nt
Filed under: Echeneis naucrates (live sharksucker)
Lineage: Eukaryota; Metazoa; Chordata; Actinopteri; Carangiformes; Echeneidae
Description: lncRNA (ENSENLG00000003329.1)
Source: RNAcentral
AGCGUCUCUUCUCACUUCCUACUUCAGUCCAUUUGAUGGAAUCUGCCUUGCCAUUAUAUCGUCUCCAUCUGUUUCUUCGGUUUUUCUUGGAAGAAGGUCUCUGUUGCAGGUGAAGGUGCACCUCACCCGGACAGUGAGUGACAGCUGAGGGGGCGGAGUCAGCAGAGUCCUGUGGCUGUAGAGACGACUGCCAGUGGCAGCCAUGCUCGUUGUUGUCCAGUUUGUGAUGAUGAUGAUGAUGAUGACGAGUGAAGCUGCCUCAGCAGAGGUCAUUACAGUCUCUCCUGGUGAAAGUGUCCUGAUGCCCUUGGGGACACAGCUUACCCACAGCAACAUCAGCAGGGACAUCAGGUGGACUCACCCCCAGCUGCUCUUGUCUCUGAAGUCCAACAAGACAACUUGUAACCAUGGACGCUGCAAGCUGCUGAGUGAUGGCUCGCUGAGUUUCAGUCGAGUCCAGGCCGAAGACGCAGGAAAAUACACAGUCCAGGUGUUUGACCAAAGUGGUAAACAAGAAACCCAGAAGGGUUUCCUGCUGAAGGUUGAAGAGAAAACACAGACACAUCUCGCCUGGCUUCUGUUCCUCCUCUUCCUGCUGCCGCUAUUCAUCAUCCUCUUCAUCCUGAGGAAGAGGACGAUGACUACAGAUCCAAUGGAGGAAAAUGUUUAUGUGUUCAUGCACAGUCACCGUAGCAACAAGGAGGAGCCUGCCUAUGGUACACGUACACACACACACACACACACACACACACACACACACACACACACACACACACGUACGUACACGUACACAAACACACACACACACACAUACACGUACACAAAUACACACACACACACUAACAAAAGUUAA